UCUUCCACUAAAUUUUGCGAUUAUUCCCUAUCCCUCUAAGCAGGCGAUGGCUCUCUUUCCCCCUCCCCCCAAUGCCUAGAUGUGAUUUGUCCCUCCUUAUCUCUGGACAGGGUUUGUAUAUAGUUUUUCGGUUGGUUCUUGGUAUUGCAUUAAGGUGUAGUGCUUGACUAGAGAGGGAGCUUCCUCUUUUCAACUUGAGAUGUUAGUUUGCCUCCCAUAGUAGCCUGGUAUGAUCAUUAGUUUCUGGAUUAGUUUGCAGGAGGAUGCUUAGUUGCCAUGAGAACAGAAAUCUACGACGUUCCAUAGCCGGUUCCUACAUUUGGCCGCUUGACCCUUGAAAGCGCAAAAGUUGUAGAAGCUCUGGCCAUCGACUUCCUCUACAAAUCGUCAGAGUUUAUGGUUCUUAGCUUUUUUGGGAGGCUUGCUUAUUCCAUGAAAGAUAACUUUAGGGUUGAGCUUGUUUGUCAGGUAUGAUCGACAACUUGAGCGUCUUCUUCCAGGCGAAGUGUGGAGGAGCUACCGUCUCUUUCUUCUUCACUAUAGCUCUAGGGUUUAUUUGUGGGCUUCUGGCCCAAUUCGUAGUGCAGAGAGCUAUUAUGAUCUUUGGGAUCUUUGUGUUAGAG
RNAcentral lists this unclassified non-coding RNA (623 nucleotides) under Hevea brasiliensis (rubber tree). Lineage: Eukaryota; Viridiplantae; Streptophyta; Magnoliopsida; Malpighiales; Euphorbiaceae. The record is from RNAcentral.